RNAcentral lists this ribosomal RNA (158 nucleotides) under Hericium alpestre. RNAcentral's name for it is "5.8S ribosomal RNA". It matches the Rfam family "5.8S ribosomal RNA". Rfam says of the family: 5.8S ribosomal RNA (5.8S rRNA) is a component of the large subunit of the eukaryotic ribosome. The record is from RNAcentral. Lineage: Eukaryota; Fungi; Basidiomycota; Agaricomycetes; Russulales; Hericiaceae.
CAACUUUCAACAACGGAUCUCUUGGCUCUCGCAUCGAUGAAGAACGCAGCGAAAUGCGAUAAGUAAUGUGAAUUGCAGAAUUCAGUGAAUCAUCGAAUCUUUGAACGCACCUUGCGCCCCUUGGUAUUCCGAGGGGCACGCCUGUUUGAGUGUCGUGA